UAUUGGGGCUUCUUACUCUCCUUGUAUUUUGGUAUUGGCCCCAUGUAGGAAACGGCGGGAGAAAUGCGACGACCAUAGUAGAUGAUCAGCAAAUCUCGUUUAUUGUUUCAGCUGCGUGUACAUUUAUAGCGCAAAUAAUAGGCUCAUACAUAUUGCUGAAGUGGAGCUUGGGAUUGGCUCGCUAUUCAGGGUCAACUACGCCUAUCUUUGUGCUCUGUGGUUAUCUCUCAGCAAACAUUCUCUUGCUGACUUCUCCAAACAGUGUUGCCAACCUCCUCAAUCUACAUCCUGUUUUGUUCCUUGUCCUUGUGCACGACCAGCUGCACAGUGUCUACGUGGCCUUUCUCAGUCAGCCAGUCAUCAAUAAAACUCUCCACAGCCCCACACAGUUCUAACUAUACCUGAUGGGAGUUCUUUCAGAUGGAUGCUUGUAGGAGGUGAUAAAAAUUCUACUAUACAAUGUCCUUUCCAAUUUAUUGGUACCUCUCGAGCUAUCUCUCGUCCCCACACAGCCACCAGAAGCCCUUCCUUAAUGGUGGCCACUAUUAAAUUUGUAAAUGUAAGAUUGAUCCAAGGUACUUUGGAGGAUAA
Molecule: long non-coding RNA, 591 nt
Filed under: Gallus gallus (chicken)
Lineage: Eukaryota; Metazoa; Chordata; Aves; Galliformes; Phasianidae
Source: RNAcentral